UGGGCAACCUGCCCCAGACUCUGGGAUAACUCCGGGAAACCGGAGCUAAUACCGGAUACGACCAACUCAGGCAUCUGAUGUUGGUGGAAAGUUUUUCGGUCUGGGAUGGGCCCGCGGCCUAUCAGCUUGUUGGUGGGGUAAUGGCCUACCAAGGCGACGACGGGUAGCCGGCCUGAGAGGGCGACCGGCCACACUGGAACUGAGACACGGCCCAGACUCCUACGGGAGCA
RNAcentral lists this ribosomal RNA (230 nucleotides) under uncultured bacterium. RNAcentral's name for it is "partial 16S ribosomal RNA". It matches the Rfam family "Bacterial small subunit ribosomal RNA", at positions 118 to 347 of the family's 1533-position model. The record is from RNAcentral.